Molecule: ribosomal RNA, 86 nt
Filed under: Bacillus subtilis
Lineage: Bacteria; Bacillati; Bacillota; Bacilli; Caryophanales; Bacillaceae
Also listed under: 3 other names
Description: partial 23S ribosomal RNA
Rfam family: Bacterial large subunit ribosomal RNA
Source: RNAcentral
GAAAGAUGAUCAGGUUGAUAGGUCUGAGGUGGAAGUGUGGCGACACAUGGAGCUGACAGAUACUAAUCGAUCGAGGACUUAACCAC